This 439-nucleotide ribosomal RNA is filed under the name uncultured bacterium. RNAcentral describes it as "partial 16S ribosomal RNA". It matches the Rfam family "Bacterial small subunit ribosomal RNA", at positions 339 to 795 of the family's 1533-position model. The record is from RNAcentral.
CUACGGGAUGCAGCAGUGGGGAAUAUUGCACAAUGGAGGAAACUCUGAUGCAGCAACGCCGCGUGGAGGAUGACACUUUUCGGAGCGUAAACUCCUUUUAUAUAGGAAGAAGAUGACGGUACUAUAUGAAUAAGCGCCGGCUAACUCCGUGCCAGCAGCCGCGGUAAUACGGAGGGCGCAAGCGUUACUCGGAAUCACUGGGCGUAAAGAGCGUGUAGGCGGAUUAAAAAGUCAGAAGUGAAAUCCUAUAGCUUAACUAUAGAACUGCUUCUGAAACUCUUAAUCUAGAAUAUGGGAGAGGUAGAUGGAAUUUCCGGUGUAGGGGUAAAAUCCGUAGAGAUCAGAAGGAAUACCGAUUGCGAAGGCGAUCUACUAGAACAUUAUUGACGCUGAGACGCGAGAGCGUGGGGAGCAAACAGGAUUAGAUACCCUCGUAGUC